GCGCUUCUGAACACUUCCCAGAAGGCUUCUACUCUUGAGUGCACCUGCAGCUGGGAACCCUAAGGAAAAUAAAGAGGGCCUUUGCAGAGACUCAGAAUUUAACAAAGGAGAACUGAAGGAUGGGCCAGGAUCUGAUGGAACAGAGUGGUGAUAGAAGGCCUAGGGCCCACAAGGCGGAAGCCCACAGCUUGUGAGAGACAGCCCCCAGGUGGCAGAUUUCCCCACCAGUACAGUACUUGGCAGCUGUGGAAGGGGGACAGCAGAGGACAAUGGCAACCCCUCUCCUCACAGAGGAGGACAUCUUUGCUGCAGUUGGCAUAGGCCUGAGGCACCCCCUUUGGAGAUGGGGCUAAGAUUCUCUACUUCACGUCUGGGUAGGGGGGCCAGAGCCGAGAGGUAUAAAUGGAUGCAAACAACUCAGCCCAGUCCUCCAGACCUUGGUAAUGGUGCGUAUGUCACCGCAGUGCCCAUGAUAGCGGCUGUGUGGCCUGAUAGCCCUCGUUAGGCCAGGGUUUGUUCUUGCAGUGCCGGGUCUCAGCUCUUGUCCUCCUCAAUCUCACAAUUAUAGCUGGCAGGGUUGUUUUUGUUUUGUUUUUUAUUUUUUAGUGCAGUACUGAAGACUGAACCCAGGGCUCCUGUGUGCUGGGUAACCUGUCUGAAAGAAGCAUUUUUCAAGAUUGUGGAUGGGGUUAUGUAAGUGUAAGAGACAACAGGCACUUGCCAGUGUGUCAGGACACUCACUGAGGAUCCUCAUAGAUGCUUCUAGAAAUCAGCCAGUACCACAGGACAUUUGUCAGGUGAUGUGUAUCCCAUUCCCAGGGUCCAGAGGACAGGGCUGAGUGCUCAUUUAUUUGUAAGCCUCAUGAGGAAGGCCUUCCAAAGACACCCUGUCAUAGUCUCGUUCACAGCUGCAAAAUCUGAAAUUGACCUAGAUGUCCAUGAGGAAGGGAUUAAAUGAAUUAUGGUACAGUCAUACAAUUGAAUAUUAUACAGCCAUGAAAAGUAACACUGACGAUGAGAAAAGCUCAUUUAUGAGUGAAAAAAGCAGUUAUAAAAUUGUUUGUAUAAAAAGAAUUAGAUACAUGUUACCAUACUUUAUAAAGUUUUAUAUAUGAGAAGGAUGUUCACUGAAUUGUUAACUAUGGCUGCUUCUACCAAUGGAAUUUUGCAUUACUUUAAAUUUCUUACAUUCUCUUACGUUGCUUAAAAUUUCUGUGUAUUACCUUUAUAACCAGAGAAAUA
Molecule: long non-coding RNA, 1242 nt
Filed under: Heterocephalus glaber (naked mole-rat)
Lineage: Eukaryota; Metazoa; Chordata; Mammalia; Rodentia; Bathyergidae
Description: lncRNA (ENSHGLG00000038272.1)
Source: RNAcentral